RNAcentral lists this ribosomal RNA (253 nucleotides) under uncultured bacterium. RNAcentral describes it as "partial 16S ribosomal RNA". It matches the Rfam family "Bacterial small subunit ribosomal RNA", at positions 524 to 776 of the family's 1533-position model. The record is from RNAcentral.
UACGUAGGGUGCAAGCGUUGUCCGGAAUUAUUGGGCGUAAAGAGCUCGUAGGCGGUUUGUCGCGUCUGCUGUGAAAACUCGGGGCUUAACUCCGGGCCUGCAGUGGGUACGGGCAGACUAGAGUGCGGUAGGGGAGACUGGAAUUCCUGGUGUAGCGGUGAAAUGCGCAGAUAUCUGGAGGAAUACCGGUGGCGAAGGCGGCAUCCUGGACCGGCAUUGACGCUGAUGUGCGAAAGCUAGGGGAGCAAACGGG